Paramormyrops kingsleyae is the source of this 1251-nucleotide non-coding RNA. The record is from RefSeq and is a predicted model, not a curated record. NCBI's taxonomy places the organism in Eukaryota, Metazoa, Chordata, Actinopteri, Osteoglossiformes, Mormyridae.
CCGGCCAUCUGGCGGAUUUCCUCCCGGGGCACCCUGCUGCCUGGCAGGCUGUCCAUCACCGCUGUCAGGUCACUCAGGGACAGGUUCCUAAGGCCGGCACACCUGGACACCUUCCUCUCGCAGAGACUCACCCCUGUUGGAUGGAGACACGGCUUUAGUUAUUUCACAUGUACAUUAAUGCUCACUGGGCUAUUCUACAGUCCUAUAUAAAUAAUAUUUCCAAAUGCUACAAAGAUAAGUAUUAAUUUUAGUAAUUUUAUACUCAAGGACAGAUGUUUUACACAAGGUUCCAAGGUAGUUUCUGCUUUAUAUCGACUUGUUGGCCUUUUAAUGCAUUUUGGGUAAGUACUUCUGAAUGUUUAGUUCUGAUGCUGUUUGACGUGUCUGAAGGCGACGUCAGUUUACUCACUGACUUUAUCGUGGAGGAAUUCAGUAUCUGUGUGGGAGUCGUGCACUUUCUCUGCUUUGCACAAAGUGAUAAAGACCUACUGUGACAGCCAUCACAGAUGAGUGAGGCUCAUCCAGCGCUGGAGACUGGAGUACAGUGUUAACAAUAGAGCUCUGCACAGGUGACUGAUAUUCAUUUGGAUAUUCAUUCUCAGCAAAGACGACGCAGGGAACACAGGAAUGGGAGGAGGAUUAACCAUCAAGGCCCAAUUUUUUAAAACCUGGAAAUCAGAGGACUGCAAGCUAAAAUGACGGAAACCUUCACAUCUAUGCAUAGACGCUGGGGGUCCAGGGGCUCCGAGCAGAGCCGCUGCGAGGCCAAGAAGUGAAAGAUGGCUUCCUGGCAGAGCGUGGUGUCUGGGGGAACAACACAGUGGAACUUGUCUUCCCUUUCACUCUGAAAGGUUUUUAUUUAUUCUGCAAAAGCUAGUUCCUGAGGGAAGCAACAUUUUCUCUGCUCCAAGCACUUUCAUAAAUAUAGCUAUUUCAGCUAAAAUACGCCUGAGUCAUGCCAAAAGAGGACAGGGCCUUUUUAAGUAGCUACCUUACCAUAGAGUUUCACUGCUGAAUGUAUGUCUAGCCUGGUACAAACACCAGCCCUUAAUUCCCAAAGACAGCUCCUUCAUAUCACUCAAGGAUGUAGGGUCAGGUGUCAUCUGUAGUAAAGCCUGUAAUAAGCUAGGCCUCCGCAGACAUUUCCUUUAGUCAGUGAGUGACAGGAAAUCCUGAAGACACCUACCUCCCGAUCGGCUCAAGUCGGCCUAUCGAAAUUCUAGUAAAAGUGUCAAGUUAGUGGAACCAAGA